GACGAACGCUGGCGGCGUGCUUAACACAUGCAAGUCGAACGGAAAGGCCCUGCUUUUGUGGGGUGCUCGAGUGGCGAACGGGUGAGUAACACGUGAGUAACCUGCCCUUGACUUUGGGAUAACUUCAGGAAACUGGGGCUAAUACCGGAUAGGAGCUCCUGCUGCAUGGUGGGGGUUGGAAAGUUUCGGCGGUUGGGGAUGGACUCGCGGCUUAUCAGCUUGUUGGUGGGGUAGUGGCUUGCCAAGGCUUUGACGGGUAGCCGGCCUGAGAGGGUGACCGGCCACAUUGGGACUGAGAUACGGCCCAGACUCCUACGGGAGGCAGCAGUGGGGAAUAUUGCACAAUGGGCGGAAGCCUGAUGCAGCAACGCCGCGUGCGGGAUGACGGCCUUCGGGUUGUAAACCGCUUUCGCCUGUGACGAAGCGUGAGUGACGGUAAUGGGUAAAGAAGCACCGGCUAACUACGUG
RNAcentral lists this ribosomal RNA (468 nucleotides) under uncultured bacterium. RNAcentral describes it as "partial 16S ribosomal RNA". It matches the Rfam family "Bacterial small subunit ribosomal RNA", at positions 28 to 507 of the family's 1533-position model. The record is from RNAcentral.